RNAcentral lists this ribosomal RNA (254 nucleotides) under uncultured bacterium. RNAcentral describes it as "partial 16S ribosomal RNA". It matches the Rfam family "Bacterial small subunit ribosomal RNA", at positions 524 to 776 of the family's 1533-position model. The record is from RNAcentral.
UACGAAGGGGGCUAGCGUUGCUCGGAAUUACUGGGCGUAAAGCGCACGUAGGCGGAUUGUUAAGUCAGGGGUGAAAUCCCAGAGCUCAACUCUGGAACUGCCUUUGAUACUGGCAAUCUCGAGUCCGGGAAGAGGUGAGUGGAACUCCUAGUGUAGAGGUGGAAUUCGUAGAUAUUAGGAAGAACACCAGUGGCGAAGGCGGCUCACUGGUCCGGAACUGACGCUGAGGUGCGAAAGCGUGGGGAGCAAACAGG